Molecule: ribosomal RNA, 429 nt
Filed under: Chloroflexota bacterium
Lineage: Bacteria; Bacillati; Chloroflexota
Description: Chloroflexi bacterium partial 16S ribosomal RNA
Rfam family: Bacterial small subunit ribosomal RNA
Source: RNAcentral
UGGGGAAUAUUGCACAAUGGGCGCAAGCCUGAUGCAGCCAUGCCGCGUGUGUGAAGAAGGCCUUCGGGUUGUAAAGCACUUUCAGCGGGGAGGAAGGCGGUGAGGUUAAUAAACUCACCGAUUUACGUUACCCGCAGAAGAAGCACCGGCUAACUCCGUGCCAGCAGCCGCGGUAAUACGGAGGGUGCAAGCGUUAAUCGGAAUUACUGGGCGUAAAGCGCACGCAGGCGGUCUGUCAAGUCGGAUGUGAAAUCCCCGGGCUCAACCUGGGAACUGCAUUCGAAACUGGCAGGCUAGAGUCUUGUAGAGGGGGGUAGAAUUCCAGGUGUAGCGGUGAAAUGCGUAGAGAUCUGGAGGAAUACCGGUGGCGAAGGCGGCCCCCUGGACAAAGACUGACGCUCAGGUGCGAAAGCGUGGGGAGCAAACAGG